GACGAACGCUGGCGGCGUGCUUAACACAUGCAAGUCGAACGGAAAGGCCCUGCUUUUGUGGGGUGCUCGAGUGGCGAACGGGUGAGUAACACGUGAGUAACCUGCCCUUGACUUUGGGAUAACUUCAGGAAACUGGGGCUAAUACCGGAUAGGAUCUCCUGCUGCAUGGUGGGGGUUGGAAAGUUUCGGCGGUUGGGGAUGGACUCGCGGCUUAUCAGCUUGUUGGUGGGGUAGUGGCUUACCAAGGCUUUGAAGGGUAGCCGGCCUGGGAGGGGGACCGGCCACAUUGGGACUGAGAUACGGCCCAGACUCCUACGGGAGGCAGCAGUGGGGAAUAUUGCACAGUGGGCGGAAGCCUGAUGCAGCAACGCCGCGUGCGGGAUGACGGCCUUCGGGUUGUAAACCGCUUUCGCCUUUGACGAAGCGUGAGUGACGGUAAUGGGUAAAGAAGCACCGGCUAACUACGUG
RNAcentral lists this ribosomal RNA (468 nucleotides) under uncultured bacterium. RNAcentral describes it as "partial 16S ribosomal RNA". It matches the Rfam family "Bacterial small subunit ribosomal RNA", at positions 28 to 507 of the family's 1533-position model. The record is from RNAcentral.